Molecule: long non-coding RNA, 737 nt
Organism: Ornithodoros turicata
Lineage: Eukaryota; Metazoa; Arthropoda; Arachnida; Ixodida; Argasidae
Exons: 2
Source: RefSeq, a predicted model, not a curated record
UUGUAAAAGGUCGCUCAGCAAUAUGCGACCGUUUAGUUGCGUAAACCUAACCAAACUCUCAUCUGCCUAAAGGACUUGUUCUCGCCGAAAACUGGGGAACGUCUCGCAGCUGUUGCAGUAAACUUUUACGACCAACACGACCUCGAGUGGGUUACCGCAAGUUUCAGAGCCCAGCUGUUGCAGGGCUUGCUCACUGUUUUAGUGCUUGAGUUACAAAACUACGCCCGGCAAGUUUUCUGGGCAAGGCGAGAGUGGUUAUUGGUUGAACCCAAUAAGUUGCUGACUUGAAAUUCUUGUUAGCGAGCAGGACUCUUGCUCCACGCAAGCGAAGUUUUUGCCACUCCGGCAUACGACAACAAAAAGAGAGACAGUGAAAGAAAAAGGUGAAUGAAGACGACGACGCAGACAGCAUUCAGCACUGCGAUGAGAUUUGCAGCCGGUUUCUGGUUUCUGUUGGCCCUGGCAGUCCUACCAGCUAUCCUGAUGGACGAGGACGUCACAUUGCCCUCGCAUUGCGAACCGGUGGCGUGCAACAAAUCAUGCUUGGCUCAGGGAGACAGGGGAGGAGAGUGCUUUUACGAGAUGUGUGCAUGCGUAGCGCAAUCGCCCUUCGAAGACGACUGACACCCAAAACAUUGGCUCAGGAACAGCCAGACAGGAACGAUGACGACCCUCCCUGAAGACUUCUUGCGCCAUGUAACGCGAAGGGUCUCCUUUAUAAACCGUUCACUUUGCGA